CUACGGGACGCACCAGUGAGGAAUAUUGCACAAUGGGGGGAACCCUGAUGCAGCAACGCCGCGUGGAGGAUGACGCAUUUCGGUGUGUAAACUCCUUUUAUAUGUCAAGAAAAUGACGGUAGCAUAUGAAUAAGCACCGGCUAACUCCGUGCCAGCAGCCGCGGUAAUACGGAGGGUGCAAGCGUUACUCGGAAUCACUGGGCGUAUAGGACGCGUAGGCGGGUUGGAAAGUCAGGUGUGAAAUCCUACAGCUUAACUGUAGAACUGCACUUGAAACUUCUAAUCUAGAGUAUGGGAGGGGGAGAUGGAAUUAGUGGUGUAGGGGUAAAUCCGUAGAUAUCACUAGGAAUACCUAAAGCGAAGGCGAUCUCCUGGAACAUUACUGACGCUAAGGCGUGAAAGCGUGGGGAGCAAACAGGAUUAGAUACCCGCGUAGUC
RNAcentral lists this ribosomal RNA (438 nucleotides) under uncultured bacterium. Its description in RNAcentral is "partial 16S ribosomal RNA". It matches the Rfam family "Bacterial small subunit ribosomal RNA", at positions 339 to 795 of the family's 1533-position model. The record is from RNAcentral.